Acomys russatus (golden spiny mouse) is the source of this 581-nucleotide long non-coding RNA. RefSeq lists it as uncharacterized. Lineage: Eukaryota; Metazoa; Chordata; Mammalia; Rodentia; Muridae. The transcript has 3 exons. The record is from RefSeq and is a predicted model, not a curated record.
AGAAAUCCUUGCUGCGGGCUGCGGUGAUCAGGGUAAAGACUCAAGGCCGCCUCUCCCGCCCUGCCUCUCCAGCUCAGAGAAGGAAGCCUGUGAGCCUUCCUGGACUUUGACCCAUUGAGGAAAAGGCGGGAGUCGCAUUCAAACAGGGGAAAGGAACUCUGCCAGCAUUCGCAAACCGACUCUGACUGCCAGGGUUACACCGAGUCCAUUUUCCAGACCCUGUACACUUCUAGCAGAACAAGCUACAUUGGGUGGUAAACUGGGCCACAUCUAAGAAGAAGGCAGAACGUGGAUGCCCCUUAGUCCCUGAGUUGGAGCAGGUGGAAGCCAGGGAGCGGACUUCUUCCUGGGCCUUGUGAAACACCUGUGAGACUCAUCCUGUUGAUAAAGCACAACCGCCCGCCCAGCCCGCGAUAUCCAAGCAUCUAAACGGCCAGGAUCGCUGCCAAGAUGCUUUAAGGGAAAAUACCAGCGACCAGCAGCCAGUGCACUCCCUGUCCAACCUGAGCAACCAGUAAGGGCGGCUGCCUGGGCUGCACGUGGGUGGAAAUGAAAAUGGGGACAAAAUGAGACCUAUCCGA